UGGGGAAUCUUCCGCAAUGGACGAAAGUCUGACGGAGCAACGCCGCGUGAGUGAUGACGGCCUUCGGGUCGUAAAGCUCUGUUAAUCGGGACGAAAGGCCUUCUUGCGAAUAGUUAGAAGGAUUGACGGUACCGGAAUAGAAAGCCACGGCUAACUACGUGCCAGCAGCCGCGGUAAUACGUAGGUGGCAAGCGUUGUCCGGAAUUAUUGGGCGUAAAGCGCGCGCAGGCGGAUUGGUCAGUCUGUCUUAAAAGUUCGGGGCUUAACCCCGUGAUGGGAUGGAAACUGCCAAUCUAGAGUAUCGGAGAGGAAAGUGGAAUUCCUAGUGUAGCGGUGAAAUGCGUAGAUAUUAGGAAGAACACCAGUGGCGAAGGCGACUUUCUGGACGAAAACUGACGCUGAGGCGCGAAAGCCAGGGGAGCGAACGGGAUUAGAUACCCUGGUAGUCCACGCCGUAAACGAUGAGUGCUAAGUGUUGGUCUCAUAAGAGAUCAGUGCUGCAGCUAACGCAUUAAGCACUCCGCCUGGGGAGUACGACCGCAAGGUUG
RNAcentral lists this ribosomal RNA (548 nucleotides) under uncultured bacterium. Its description in RNAcentral is "bacterial SSU rRNA". It matches the Rfam family "Bacterial small subunit ribosomal RNA", at positions 355 to 896 of the family's 1533-position model. The record is from RNAcentral.